Molecule: long non-coding RNA, 380 nt
Organism: Struthio camelus australis
Lineage: Eukaryota; Metazoa; Chordata; Aves; Struthioniformes; Struthionidae
Source: Ensembl
GGGCUUCAGCACUUUCACGGUCUCCCGGCUGGGCCGCAGGGACCCCCGUGCACGCCUGGGCUGGGCCCCGGUGUCCCCGCAGCCGCGGGAGAUCCAGAAUGAGCACGUCCGGGUGCUGUUUGACCCCCUCACUGGACACCUCAAGGAGAUCCAGAACCUGGACAAGAGCAUAUCGCUGCCCGUCUUCCAGAGCUUCUACUGGUACAACGCGAGCACCGGGAACGAGGAGAAUUCCCAGGCCUCGGGCGCCUACAUCUUCCGGCCCAACAGUUCUGAGCCCUUCCCCGUCUCCGGCUCCAAGCAGGUCCCCACGUACCUAGUGAAGGUGAGUCAUGGGGCUGGGGGCUUCCCCGGGGGUGUCCCCGGGGCGGUGGCCCUGA